This 465-nucleotide ribosomal RNA is filed under the name Vreelandella stevensii. Its description in RNAcentral is "partial 16S ribosomal RNA". It matches the Rfam family "Bacterial small subunit ribosomal RNA", at positions 338 to 795 of the family's 1533-position model. The record is from RNAcentral. Lineage: Bacteria; Pseudomonadati; Pseudomonadota; Gammaproteobacteria; Oceanospirillales; Halomonadaceae.
CCUACGGGGAGCUGCAGUGGGGAAUAUUGGACAAUGGGCGAAAGCCUGAUCCAGCCAUGCCGCGUGUGUGAAGAAGGCCUUCGGGUUGUAAAGCACUUUCAGUGGGGAAGAAAGCCUUGGGGCUAAUACCCUCGAGGAAGGACAUCACCCACAGAAGAAGCACCGGCUAACUCCGUGCCAGCAGCCGCGGUAAUACGGAGGGUGCGAGCGUUAAUCGGAAUUACUGGGCGUAAAGCGCGCGUAGGCGGUCUGAUAAGCCGGUUGUGAAAGCCCCGGGCUCAACCUGGGAACGGCAUCCGGAACUGUCAGGCUAGAGUGCAGGAGAGGAAGGUAGAAUUCCCGGUGUAGCGGUGAAAUGCGUAGAGAUCGGGAGGAAUACCAGUGGCGAAGGCGGUCUUCUGGACUGACACUGACGCUGAGGUGCGAAAGCGUGGGUAGCAAACAGGAUUAGAUACCCGAGUAGUC